RNAcentral lists this ribosomal RNA (497 nucleotides) under uncultured bacterium. RNAcentral describes it as "partial 16S ribosomal RNA". It matches the Rfam family "Bacterial small subunit ribosomal RNA", at positions 28 to 507 of the family's 1533-position model. The record is from RNAcentral.
GACGAACGCUGGCGGCGUGCCUAAUACAUGCAAGUUGAGCGCUGAAGGUUGGUACUUGUACCAACUGGAUGAGCAGCGAACGGGUGGGUAACGCGUGGGGAAUCUGCCUUUGAGCGGGGGACAACAUUUGGAAACGAAUGCUAAUACCGCAUAAAAACUUUAAACACAAGUUUUAAGUUUGAAAGAUGCAAUUGCAUCACUCAAAGAUGAUCCCGCGUUGUAUUAGCUAGUUGGUGAGGUAAAGGCUCACCAAGGCGAUGAUACAUAGCCGACCUGAGAGGGUGAUCGGCCACAGUGGGACUGAGACACGGCCCAAACUCCUACGGGAGGCAGCAGUAGGGAAUCUUCGGCAAUGGACGAAAGUCUGACCGAGCAACGCCGCGUGAGUGAAGAAGGUUUUCGGAUCGUAAAACUCUGUUGGUAGAGAAGAACGUUGGUGAGAGUGGAAAGCUCAUCAAGUGACGGUAACUACCCAGAAAGGGACGGCUAACUACGUG